GGGGUUGUGGCUCGGAGGUAGAGCGCUCACCUAGCAAGAGUGGGGUACUGGGUUCCAUCCUCAGCACCACA
Molecule: transfer RNA, 71 nt
Filed under: Marmota monax (woodchuck)
Lineage: Eukaryota; Metazoa; Chordata; Mammalia; Rodentia; Sciuridae
Description: tRNA.Ala
Source: RNAcentral